Non-coding RNA from Camelina sativa (false flax), 2058 nucleotides. The record is from RefSeq and is a predicted model, not a curated record. NCBI's taxonomy places the organism in Eukaryota, Viridiplantae, Streptophyta, Magnoliopsida, Brassicales, Brassicaceae.
UUAUAUGGUCCAUGAGUCCCAUAUAUAUAUAGUAAGUAUUUAGGAAGUGGAUUUAAUUAAUUAGAGUGAACAGUUUCAAUGUUAUUAAUGGAAUGACUUGUUGCUCCAAAUCCAAAAGUAAUUAUCUGAUAAUUUCACAAAUCUCCUAUAAAACCUAAACCGGCUUUGGAAUAAUAAUAAUAUGCUUACAAAUUAAGAAAAACAGUGUGAAAUCAUAGCUUAAAAUGGCGUGUUUUAUUAAACCGGACUAAACCGGAGUCCACUUAAGAGUGGUUCGCUCAGUCCCAAAGCAGAAUCAGAUGAGCGAGUCAUGAUUCCGCGUUUCCUUCUUCUUUCUCUUCUAGACCUGACCGCGGAUUUCACAAAAAGAUUCUGCGAGGAUUGUAAAUUUUGUGCUGAGGGGUUUGCAUUAGGGAUGAUACAAUAUGAUGGUUUUCCAUUAGCACACGGUCGUGCAUUUAGUGUGUCGCUAUGUCUGCUAGGAAGAGGAUCGCUUUUGGUUUGGACAAUCUACCAGAGAGUUUACUUUGCAACAUAUUGUCUUUCUUGCCAAUAAAAUUUGCUGCAACUACUCCGUUCUCUCAAAAAGCUGGCGCUAUGCGUGAGCCUUCUCACCAAACCUUUCAUUUAGAUACGACGAAGGUGCUGAUGGGUUGGCUUUUGUCGACUUUGUUGAUACAGUUUUGCCUUCGCGAGCAAAUGCUUUGGUAAAGAAGUUCUCUUUGUAUCUUGUUGAAGGCGUUGAUGGAGAACCUGUUGGUGGUUGGAUACGCUAUGCUUUGCAACACGAGGUGUCAAAUAUUGAGAUACAAAUAUAUAAUCUGAAUAAUUGGUCCGGACCACCUCGAGACGUCUUUGUGGCCAAGAAACUAGUUAGGCUGGAAAUAGGCACUGGGGAUUGUUGCAUCAUUGACCUGGAAGGUGAUUGUAAUCUCCCAAGUCUGAAGAUUCUUCGUCUUGAUGAUGUUCAGUUGAAGCUUCUCUCAAGUUGCCCUGUUCUUGAGGAGUUAGCUAUGGUGGACAUGAGGUGGCAUGACCGGGAUGUUUGUUGUGUGCGUAGCACAAGUCUCAAGAGAAUAAAGAUCUGCUAGGAAUCUGAAUCUGAUGAUGAUGAAGGCCAUAAUGGACGUCCUAAGAGUGUGUCAUUUGACACUCCAAAUCUUCUGUACUUUAAAUAUUCAGAUGAUAAUGCUAGCAAGUAUCCAACAACCAACUUUGAUAAGCUUGUUUAGGCCAAGCUUAAACUUGGCAGAAAAGCAGAGCAAGAAGAAAAAGAGAAUGUAGCCGGUGAUGUUACAGAUUUUUGGAAGGUUAUCAGCAACGUUGAGAUCCUUGUCCUAAAGUCAGAAACUCUUGAGGUUUGCUGAUCUCAGUCUCUUGAAUCUGAAUACUACUUUUGCCUUUUGCUGUGAUGAUUUAGUUGACAUGGUCUUGUUGUCGGGGUGCUUACGGAGGAUCAUAUGCCAGUGUUCAAAAACAUGAGUCAGCUGACAAUUGAGAAGAAGACUGGCCCAAAACUAAGAUGGGAAUUUCUGCAAGCUCUGCUCAAUAACUGUCCAAAUCUAGAAACACUGCUCCUCAAAGUAACAAAUCAUGCUUCUUGGUGUUUUGGUCAACCUUUUGCAGAAGGUGAGCAAGAAAUUUGAAUGUAGUGAAGAUAAAGAAUCUUCAAUGGAGGACGUGAAACAGUUUUUGGAGGAAGUGGAGAUGAGUUUUGAAGAAGAAUAGAUAGAACAUAUCAUCCUUUUUUUUUUUUCUCUUAUGGACCAUCUGAUAUAACAUUUUUCUUUGGAAAAUAAACACUUAUUAAAAAAACAAAAUGGUCUUGCUUAUUAUAAUCUAUUUUAGAAAGGGUUUGGUGUUACACAGUGAAAUUAUUUUUAGGGAUGCUUGCUAAACAAGACUCCUAACUUGAGUCAAUUGCAAGAUUAGACUUUUCUUUUUUUUCUCUCCAACAUUUGCCACUUUUUUCCAAUUAAAUCCUUAUGUGUUCGUUAUAUUCACAAAAAUGCCAUUAUUUCUGAUUUAUUUGAAUUUCUUGCAAAAAUGUUUAUUACA